Molecule: ribosomal RNA, 794 nt
Filed under: uncultured bacterium
Lineage: Bacteria
Description: bacterial SSU rRNA
Rfam family: Bacterial small subunit ribosomal RNA
Source: RNAcentral
AGAGUUAGAUCCUUGCUCAGGAUGAACGCUGGCGGCAUGCCUAAGACAUGCAAGUCGAACGAGAUGGCCCAGUGAAGGUUGCGUGCUUGCACAAGACUGAAUCUGGAUCACCAUCUAGUGGCAGACGGGUGAGUAACACGUGGGUGACCUACCUUUUCGUUGGGGAUAACAGUUGGAAACGAUUGCUAAUACCGAAUAAAAUAUAAGAGCCAAUUUUAUAUUGAAAGGAGCCUUUAAAGCUUCGCGAUUAGAUGGGCCUGCGGCGUAUUAACUUGUUGGUGAGGUAACGGCUCACCAAGGUAACGAUGCGUAGCCGAACUGAGAGGUUGAUCGGCCACACUGGGACUGAGACACGGCCCAGACUCCUACGGGAGACAGCAGUUAGGAAUAUUCGUCAAUGGGGGAAACCCUGAACGAGCAAUGCCGCGUGAGUGAUGACGGUCCUUUGGAUUGUAAAACUCUGUUGUAUGGAAAAAAUGACUAGGUUAGGAAAUGAACCUAAUGUGAUGGUACCAUACCAGAAAGCCCCGGCUAACUACGUGCCAGCAGUCGCGGUAAUACGUAGGGGGCAAGCGUUAUCCGGAUUUAUUGGGCGUAAAGCCUGUGUAGGCGGUUUGUUAAGUUUAAGAUUAAAGCCUGGGGCUCAACUCCAGUUCGUCUUAAAAACUGGCAGACUAGAGUACGGUAGAGGCAAACGGAAUUUCUAGUGUAGCGGUGAAAUGCGUAGAUAUUAGAAGGAACACCAGUGGCGAAAGCGGUUUGCUGGGCCGUUACUGACGCUGAGGCACGAAAGC